UGAAUCCUUGUCUUGGGGUGCUUGGGACACUCAAUGAACGUAUAGUGAGAGUUUCCCUGCUAACACCAAAACAACACUUACGCAUCUCCCAGCCAUUUACGGCUUGGGUACUGGUGCAAUUUUUGGAACA
Molecule: small nuclear RNA, 130 nt
Organism: Doryrhamphus excisus (bluestripe pipefish)
Lineage: Eukaryota; Metazoa; Chordata; Actinopteri; Syngnathiformes; Syngnathidae
Product: U4atac minor spliceosomal RNA
Source: RefSeq, a predicted model, not a curated record